AACGAACGCUGGCGGCAUGCCUAACACAUGCCAGUCGAACGAUGCCUUCGGGCAUAGUGGCGCACGGGUGCGUAACGCGUGGGAAUCUGCCUUUCGGUUCGGAAUAACUCAGGGAAACUUGAGCUAAUACCGGAUAACGUCGCAAGACCAAAGAUUUAUCACCGAAAGAUGAGCCCGCGUAGGAUUAGCUAGUUGGUGAGGUAAAGGCUCACCAGGGCGACGAUCCUUAGCUGGUCUGAGAGGAUGAUCAGCCACACUGGGACUGAGACACGGCCCAGACUCCUACGGGAGGCAGCAGUGGGGAAUAUUGGACAAUGGGCGAAAGCCUGAUCCAGCAAUGCCGCGUGAGUGAUGAAGGCCUUAGGGUUGUAAAGCUCUUUUACCCGGGAAGAUAAUGACGGUACCGGGAGAAUAAGCCCCGGCUAACUCCGUG
This 433-nucleotide ribosomal RNA is filed under the name uncultured bacterium. Its description in RNAcentral is "partial 16S ribosomal RNA". It matches the Rfam family "Bacterial small subunit ribosomal RNA", at positions 29 to 507 of the family's 1533-position model. The record is from RNAcentral.